This 692-nucleotide ribosomal RNA is filed under the name Mucor inaequisporus. RNAcentral describes it as "eukaryotic LSU rRNA". It matches the Rfam family "Eukaryotic large subunit ribosomal RNA", at positions 50 to 648 of the family's 3401-position model. Lineage: Eukaryota; Fungi; Mucoromycota; Mucoromycetes; Mucorales; Mucoraceae. The record is from RNAcentral.
GCGGAGGAAAAGAAAAUAACAAUGAUUUCCCUAGUAACGGCGAGUGAAGAGGAAAGAGCUCAAAGUUGGAACCUGUUUGGCUUAGCUAAACCGGAUUGUAAACUGUAGAAACGUUUUCCUGAUACGCCAGACAAAUAAGUCCUUUGGAACAGGGCAUCAUAGAGGGUGAGAAUCCCGUCUUUGGUCUGAGCUGUUGUCUUUUGCGAUACGUUUUCAAAGAGUCAGGUUGUUUGGGAAUGCAGCCUAAAUUGGGUGGUAAAUCUCACCUAAAGCUAAAUAUUUGCGAGAGACCGAUAGCGAACAAGUACCGUGAGGGAAAGAUGAAAAGAACUUUGAAAAGAGAGUUAAACAGUAUGUGAAAUUGUUAAAAGGGAACCGUUUGGAGCCAGACUGGCUUGAUUGUAAUCAAUCUAGGUUUCGACCUGGAUGCACUUGCGGUCUAUGCCUGCCAACGACAGUUCUUUCUGAAGGAUAAAACUAAGAGGAAUGUGGCCCCUCGGGGUGUUAUAGCCUUUUAGAUAAUACUUUGGAUGGGACUGAGGAACGCAGUGAAUGCUUAUGGCGAGAUUGCUAGGCGCUUUUGUUGAUAUAUGUCAGAAUUUCUGCUUCGGGUGGUGCUGAUGUAUAAAGAUGAAACUCGUUUGGUUAAUUUUCUAUUCACUUAGGUUGUUGGCUUAAUGACUCUAAAUGAC